CCUACAGGUGGCUGCAGUGGGGAAUAUUGGACAAUGGGGGGAACCCUGAUCCAGCCAUGCCGCGUGUGUGAAGAAGGCCCUCGGGUUGUAAAGCACUUUCAGUGAGGAAGAACGCCUGGUGGUUAAUACCCAUCAGGAAAGACAUCACUCACAGAAGAAGCACCGGCUAACUCCGUGCCAGCAGCCGCGGUAAUACGGAGGGUGCGAGCGUUAAUCGGAAUUACUGGGCGUAAAGCGCGCGUAGGUGGCUUGAUAAGCCGGUUGUGAAAGCCCCGGGCUCAACCUGGGAACGGCAUCCGGAACUGUCAAGCUAGAGUGCAGGCGAGGAAGGUAGAAUUCCCGGUGUAGCGGUGAAAUGCGUAGAGAUCGGGAGGAAUACCAGUGGCGAAGGCGGCCUUCUGGACUGACACUGACACUGAGGUGCGAAAGCGUGGGUAGCAAACAGGAUUAGAUACCCUAGUAGUC
Molecule: ribosomal RNA, 465 nt
Filed under: Vreelandella stevensii
Lineage: Bacteria; Pseudomonadati; Pseudomonadota; Gammaproteobacteria; Oceanospirillales; Halomonadaceae
Description: partial 16S ribosomal RNA
Rfam family: Bacterial small subunit ribosomal RNA
Source: RNAcentral